Molecule: long non-coding RNA, 1376 nt
Organism: Gastrolobium bilobum
Lineage: Eukaryota; Viridiplantae; Streptophyta; Magnoliopsida; Fabales; Fabaceae
Exons: 6
Source: RefSeq, a predicted model, not a curated record
AAUGGAUUUAAGUAGGCUUUUUAUCUGUUUCUCCAAGCGCUAAAGUAAAGGAGGAAGGGUUUUGGAGCACGUUACUCAUGCGUGGUUCUGCUAUGCAUUCAGGCUAUAAGGAAAACUAAUUGAAACCAAGAAUGCGGAGGUAUUUAUGAGUUAAGUUGAGAAUCAAGGAGUUCUGCCAUGGUUGAUGAACGACAAUUUCUAUAGAGUUUCAACAAAGAGAGUAAACCAAGAUACUAUUAACCUGGCCGGAUUUGGAUUUGUUUAAGUUCAGAUUUGGAGCUUUGGGUCAUAUUUUUUUCCCCUUUUCAUGUUUGUGUAUAGGGACAUCACAGGGGCCAAUUUGCUUGUCGAUUCUGCUGGUCUUGUUAAGCUUGCUGAUUUUGGGAUGGCUAAGCAUAUAAUCCUUACAUUCGGGUAGAAUAACUUGGAAUCUCUAUGUUCCGAGGCUAACUGGAUAUGAAGCUAAUCUUUCUUUGAAAGGAAGUCCAUACUGGAUGGCUCCAGAGGUACAUUCUUACUCUACAUUACUCUGUGCUGUCUCAUACAUUAAUUACUUAGUAACACUUAAAUUCUCAUUUAGCUUUUGCAGGCUGUGAUGCAAAAGGAUAACAGCUCUGAUCUAGCUUUUGCUAUUAAUAUUUGGAGUUUGGGUUGUAUAAUCAUUGAAAUGUUCACAGGGAUGCCUCCUUGGAGCAAGUAUGAAGGAGUAAAAGCCUGCAGAAAAUUCUCUUAUGUCUUUUUUGAUUUGUUAUUCCCAGGCUACUUCAGUAACCAUAUAGUAUAAGAUUUCUCGUAGGUUAUAGAUCCCCAAUAAUUUUUUGUUCCAUUUUCUUUUUUGAUUCUCUAAAAUAAUUUUUACAGAUAUGUGACAUGGUUGCUAUUGCAAGAUAUUUGAAUGUCACGCUUAUAGUCCUACUCUUUUACAGAUAUGUGACAUGGUUGCUAUUACAACUAAAGCAUCCUUUUGGGCUGAUCCCAGUUUUGAUGUGUAUCUCUUGGUGCAAAAGACAUUGCUAUGAUGUCCCUUUUUAAAAGGAACCAGAGGAGAUCCCUUGGACUGAGACUGGAGCUGAAAUUAUUGUUGAGUCCACUAGAGUUUUCACAGAUAAGGAAAAGGCCGCUGCACAUUUGAAGGUAUGAUAUGGUAGAUGGCAUUUCAAAGGACUAGGAUGGCAUACAAGAACAAAUCCUAAAUAUAAGGAAAAUUUGUACUACCAUAUUUUUUUAUGGAAUUGAGAAGAUAUUUUUUUGUAUAGCUGUCCCAUAAGUAAACUUUUUAUUAGUUAUAUUUGGCAUUUUUUUCCCUCUAUGAUAUUGGUAGAAAGCUUCGUUAGCUUGUAUAAAUUGAAAACAUGAUGGCUUGUACAAAUUCGUCA